AGAACGAACGCUGGCGGCGUGGAUAAGACAUGCAAGUCGAACGGGACAUUGUGAGUAGCAAUACGAGCGAUGUCUAGUGGCGAACGGGUGCGUAACACGUGGAUACAUUCCGGGAAGCGGGGGAUAGCCCAGGGAAACUUGGAUUAAUACCGCAUGUGGUCGAAAGACUAAAGGCAGGGACCGCAAGGCCUGCCACUUCCCGAUUGGUCCGCGGCCUAUCAGCUAGUUGGCGGGGUAAAAGCCCACCAAGGCUACGACGGGUAGCUGGUCUUAGAGGACGACCAGCCACACUGGAACUGAGACACGGUCCAGACACCUACGGGUGGCAGCAGUCGAGAAUCUUUCACAAU
Molecule: ribosomal RNA, 350 nt
Filed under: uncultured bacterium
Lineage: Bacteria
Description: SSU rRNA
Rfam family: Bacterial small subunit ribosomal RNA
Source: RNAcentral